Molecule: ribosomal RNA, 228 nt
Filed under: uncultured Synechococcus sp.
Lineage: Bacteria; Bacillati; Cyanobacteriota; Cyanophyceae; Synechococcales; Synechococcaceae
Description: partial 23S ribosomal RNA
Rfam family: Bacterial large subunit ribosomal RNA
Source: RNAcentral
GGUCAAGCUACAAAGGGCUCACGGCGGAAUACCUUGGCACACAGAGGCGAUGAAGGACGUGGUUACCUGCGGUAAGUCUCGGGGAGCUGGAAGCACGCUUUGAUCCGGGAAUUUCCGAAUGGGGCAACCCUUAAUACGGCCAGCUGAAUCCAUAGGCUGGCACGAGCCAACCCAGCGAACUGAAACAUCUUAGUAGCUGGAGGAAGGGAAAGUAAAAACGACUCCCUA